UACGAAGGGGGCGAGCGUUGUUCGGAAUUACUGGGCGUAAAGGGCGCGUAGGCGGCCGAUCAAGUUAGAUGUGAAAGUCCUGGGCUUAACCUGGGACUGCAUUUGAUACUGAUUGGCUUGAAUUCGGGAGAGGAUAGCGGAAUUCCCAGUGUAGAGGUGAAAUUCGUAGAUAUUGGGAAGAACACCAGCGGCGAAGGCGGCUCACUGGGCUCCACCUGACGCUGAGGCGCGAAAGCGUGGGGAGCAAACCGG
This 252-nucleotide ribosomal RNA is filed under the name uncultured bacterium. RNAcentral describes it as "partial 16S ribosomal RNA". It matches the Rfam family "Bacterial small subunit ribosomal RNA", at positions 524 to 776 of the family's 1533-position model. The record is from RNAcentral.